This is a long non-coding RNA of Numida meleagris (helmeted guineafowl), 3315 nucleotides long. RefSeq lists it as uncharacterized. NCBI's taxonomy places the organism in Eukaryota, Metazoa, Chordata, Aves, Galliformes, Numididae. The record is from RefSeq and is a predicted model, not a curated record. The transcript has 2 exons.
CCGCACGCGGCGGAGAACCGGCAGCUGGAACGCGGACACACCGCGCCCGCAGCACAGCACAGCACGGCACGGCACGGCACGGCCCGCAGAGAGCGGCCUCGCGCGGCGCGGACACCCCGAGCUCGGCACUGGGCCCGACCCAGGGGCUCUGCCGGCCGCGGCGCCGUCCCGGAACAGAGGGGCGGCCCCACGUCGUCGCGGCUUCCCCAGACCUGGGCAGCGGAGCGGAACGCGCUGCUGCGCAGAAUCAUCGCCGCGUGCCGGUGCUCUGCAGCGCGUGGGACGCGGCCCCCGCCGCUCGGGGUUGCGGGAGGACGAAGCUCCAGUCCCGCGCUAACGCAGGCUCCGAGACUCCAGAGAGCUCAAGGGAAACGCCACUGACCGGGCCCGGUCCCACCACCCUCCCUCCCUCUGCAUAUUCCAGCGCGUGAGGUUAAAUUCUUCCGUGGGAAUGCGCACAGAGGUCCUUGCUGCAGUCACCACUGAACACCGCUUCUCUCUUCACACCACAAAUACGUACCCAGUACUGUGAGUGAAGGAUGCAGCACUAUCUUCACGCAGAAAAAGGGAUUACAGGACUCCGUCCCUCUGUCUGCAGCACUGCUCUCAGGGGCUGCAGGACCAGCACUGGUACUUGGCCAACAGUGCUGCCCAGCCAGGGCCCAGCGGACUGCCGCAGGAAGGAGGAGAGGGAAACAAAAGGCACAAACACAAUGAAGGCCUCAAAAUGUCUGGAAAUGAGUUAAUUUCUCACAUAGCCCUGUCUCAGCAGUUUUCAGUUUUGGACCUCAUCGGAUUUUAUUUCCAUGCCUUUUUGUAAUUGCCUUCUGCCUGCAAUUUUGCUCUCAUUUCCUCCUGUUCCUUCAGCUUAGAACUGCUGUGUGCUCCUGCUCUGCAUGUCAGGUCUCCUGUGACACUCCCAUGCGGAGCACCCAUGACACAACUUUUGCACAAUGACCCACUGAAGCAGAAAGGCAAUAUUUAAAGAGAAAACACCAAGAACAUUUGAACAACAAAAUGAUGAUACUUCAAAGAGAUUGGAAAUUUUUAUCUAAUAGAAGCUAACAGGAAUGCUUUCCUACUUCUUAUAUACAAUAAAUAUAUUUAAGAAGCUUAAAAAAUAUAUUCCUUCUCAUCAUCUACAACUUAAACAUUUCUAGUGUACGAAUGCCACUGUAUCAGAAGAAACUGCUUUGAAGGAUGAUUUAUGUGAUCUCAGCUAGAGCACCUUCAGAGCCGCAUGCUUUUGUUUCCUUUCUGCUAACCUGUUCAUCCACUGUUAAGUGACUGGGUGUCUGCAUACCAAACAACAUGGCUGACCAUAUCCUCAGCGUUCCUUCUGAGAACUUACACAUCAGGUACAAUUUUUUCAAUACAACUCAAAUGUAGACACAGAAUUGCACCAUGAACCUCAAAGGGAGGGCUCCUUUUUGCAUGACAUUUAAAUGGCUAAAGCAUCAGUCCCUGCAUUGUGCAGACUUGCACAAAGUUAUCUUCCAAAUAUCUCUAGACUACAAUCAAAAUUACUGGAGUCAGAAAUGGCUCCCAGCACCUGGGGUGAGAGCACAUCCCAGUUGAGUUUGGGCUGUAUCAGGUAGAGAUGGAUCGUCCAGCACUAUGCUGCUCACCAGCACUCUCCUUAGAUCCUAGCUUCAAUGGGAAGGAAACCACCAGGAUCCCGUGCCGUACUCCAGCUACAUCGGAUCAAGGGACCAGGACCCUAUGCCAUGCCUGGUGGUUGGAGGAAGUUGCACACAGAGUUCAUGCAAAACUACUCUCCACAGUAUGUACUGGGAAAGCACACGUUGCUCUCAGGCAUGGCUGCACAGUUGUGCAAAAGACCAGGGGUGAUUUUAGGCCAGCAUAUUUGCCUUAUUAAGGAAAAAUGUUUGUAGCCUAUUUUUAACAUCAGCAGUUGGCCUGGAGGGUAGAGACAGAGGAGAGUUGGGCCAGGAAGGGUUAUGAGAAGGGUCAGCGUGGUUCUCUAUAUAGAACUCAAAGGGAGUGUUAGAAAAAGAUUAAACAGAGGUGUUUACUUUAUAACUGCCAUCUAAAAUUCAUAUCUGAAGAUGUGUACCUGAGCACUGAGAAUCUCAGCUGUUGUAUCACAGCAUGCUUUGCUUGCACUCUGCCCUGUCAUCACUAACUUGGAGGUUUCACAAUGCAGAAAUGUACAGAGGAAGUGCUCCCUCCCACAAUGUGAGCUCCUUUUCAGAAUGUUCACUCUUCCUAGAAACACACAGUACAUCGCCCAGCUACCAGGCCCUGAUUUUAUAACAGUCACAUAACACUGACAGCAAAAGGAACUGCUGGGACUGGAACACCAGAAACCUCCCCACGCUGGAGGAGCACACACCAGCGCUGUGGGCAUCCCACACCUGCAGCUGCAUCACUCCCCACCCUGACCUGGGUCAGCGCUCCUCGCUCUGCCGUCUGACUCUAUGCAGAAGCCUGCUGCUCUUCAGUUAAUUCUCAGCGCAGGACAUCGACACCUCUGUGAACCGCCUGUGUCCAGAAACCUGACACGUGCUUGUUGCUGGAAAUCAGGGUUGUUCUUCCACCCUGAUUUCCAGCAUUUCUGUGACAACACCCUCCUCCCAUGGCUGAAAUUCUUUUUUAUGUGUGCUUAAAGAUGCACUUGGUACUUGGAAAGUGGAAAAAAUCAGGAACAAUGUUAUGUUUAUGCCAUGUAUACAAGCUCUCUGAUGUCAUUUGUCAACAUAAUAACCAAACGUGAUAGUCCCACAGUUUAAAUCCACUUCUACCCACUGCACACUCAUCAUGGUUUUACAACUUCCACAAGCUUCGUACUCCUAAAGAAAUCAAUUUUUUCACACGACUCCUUCCCUUUUUAAUUAUAAUUUGAGACACUUUGUUAUAAUCAUUUGCUUAGAUUAAAACUUAGAUAAAUGGUGAAACAGUUAAUUUUUAGUACCAGCACUUCCAUGCUAACCAAAGUCUACUCAAAUAAGAUUUGCACAAGCAGGUAUACUCCCCCCAGACAGUUUACACAAGGCCAACACAUUGCAGUAGAAUUCAUGGCCUUGUUAAGAGCCUUGCUGACAUGAGCAUAACAAUGAAGCACGUGCUGUCCCGCCAUCGCCUGCAGGAACAGCAGCAGAGACCUGGCGGCAGUGCUCCUUGAACAGGGGCUCCGCUCAGGGCUGCUCCACUGAACUUCAGUGCACUGCGGCUCGCAGGAACCUGCUGCCCUAUAGGCAAGAUUCAAGAGCUCGCACCAAGUGAACAACACAUUGCAUGGACAAUGGUAUUACAAGAGAAACUGCUGUAAGCUAAUUAAACAGCGUCUGUUCA